UUAACACAUGCAAGUCGAACGAUGAACCACUUCGGUGGGGAUUAGUGGNGAANGGGUGAGUAACACGUGGGCAAUUUGCCCUUCACUUUGGGACAAGCCCUGGAAACGGGGUUUAAUACCGGAUAACACUUCCACUUUCCUGGGUGGAGGUUAAAAGCUCCGGCGGUGAAGGAUGAGCCCGCGGCCUAUCAGCUUGUUGGUGAGGUAAUGGCUCACCAAGGCGACGACGGGUAGCCGGCCUGAGAGGGCGACCGGCCACACUGGGACUGAGACACGGCCCAAACUCCUACGGGAGGCAGCAGUGGGGAAUAUUGCACAAUGGGCGAAAGCCUGAUGCAGCGACGCCGCGUGAGGGAUGACGGCCUUCGGGUUGUAAACCUCUUUCAGCAGGGAAGAAGCGAAAGGACGGACCUGCAGAACAAGCGCCGGCUUAACUUACGUGCCAAGCAGCCGCGGUAAUACGUAGGCGCAAGCGUUGUCCGGAAUUAUUGGGCGUAAAGAGCUCGUAGGCGGCUUGUCACGUCGGGUGUGAAAGCCCGGGGCUUAACCCCGGGUCUGCAUUCGAUACGGGCUAGCUAGAGUGUGGUAGGGGAGAUCGGAAUUCCUGGUGUAGCGGUGAAAUGCGCAGAUAUCAGGAGGAACACCGGUGGCGAAGGCGGAUCUCUGGGCCAUUACUGACGCUGAGGAGCGAAAGCGUGGGGAGCGAACAGGAUUAGAUACCCUGGUAGUCCACGCCGUAAACGGUGGGAACUAGGUGUUGGCGACAUUCCACGUCGUCGGUGCCGCAGCUAACGCAUUAAGUUCCCCGCCUGGGGAGUACGGCCGCAAGGCUAAAACUCAAAGGAAUUGACGGGGGCCCGCACAAGCAGCGGAGCAUGUGGCUUAAUUCGACGCAACGCGAAGAACCUUACCAAGGCUUGACAUACACCGGAAACGUCUGGAGACAGGCGCCCCCUUGUGGUCGGUGUACAGGUGGUGCAUGGCUGUCGUCAGCUCGU
This 998-nucleotide ribosomal RNA is filed under the name Streptomyces hygroscopicus. Its description in RNAcentral is "bacterial SSU rRNA". It matches the Rfam family "Bacterial small subunit ribosomal RNA", at positions 48 to 1063 of the family's 1533-position model. Lineage: Bacteria; Bacillati; Actinomycetota; Actinomycetes; Kitasatosporales; Streptomycetaceae. The record is from RNAcentral.